AGGAAACUAAAGUCUUGUAAAUAAGUUAAAUACUUGCACAAUUAUAUCUUCCAAAAGUUGAGUCUACUAUCAUAUCAUUCAAUCUCUUAUGAACUUAGUGACAGACUCACACGUUGACUUGUCAAUCACUUUUCAGCAAAUUCACAAUGUAAAAAAUAAUUAAAUAUAUGUCCAGCAAUCACAAGUUUCUUCUUAAAAUCAG
This 202-nucleotide unclassified non-coding RNA is filed under the name Hevea brasiliensis (rubber tree). Lineage: Eukaryota; Viridiplantae; Streptophyta; Magnoliopsida; Malpighiales; Euphorbiaceae. The record is from RNAcentral.